UAGUAGCGGCGAGCGAAGCGGGAAGAGCUCAAAUUUAUAAUCUGGCACCUUCGGUGUCCGAGUUGUAAUCUCUAGAAGUGUUUUCCGCGUUGGACCGCACACAAGUCUGUUGGAAUACAGCGGCAUAGUGGUGAAACCCCCGUAUAUGGUGCGGACGCCCAGCGCUUUGUGAUACACUUUCAAUGAGUCGAGUUGUUUGGGAAUGCAGCUCAAAUUGGGUGGUAAAUUCCAUCUAAAGCUAAAUAUUGGCGAGAGACCGAUAGCGAACAAGUACCGUGAGGGAAAGAUGAAAAGCACUUUGGAAAGAGAGUUAACAGUACGUGAAAUUGUUGGAAGGGAAACGCUUGAAGUCAGACUUGCUUGCCGGAGCUUGCUUCGGUUUGCAGGCCAGCAUCAGUUUUCCGGGGUGGAUAAUGACGGUUUGAAGGUAGCAGUCUCGGCUGUGUUAUAGCUUUCCGUUGGAUACAUCCUGGGGGACUGAGGAACGCAGCGUGCUUUUUGCGAAAGACUCGUCUUUUUCACGCUUAGGAUGC
RNAcentral lists this ribosomal RNA (533 nucleotides) under Rhodotorula graminis. RNAcentral describes it as "eukaryotic LSU rRNA". It matches the Rfam family "Eukaryotic large subunit ribosomal RNA", at positions 81 to 618 of the family's 3401-position model. The record is from RNAcentral. Lineage: Eukaryota; Fungi; Basidiomycota; Microbotryomycetes; Sporidiobolales; Sporidiobolaceae.